This 546-nucleotide ribosomal RNA is filed under the name Anoplopoma fimbria (sablefish). RNAcentral describes it as "partial 16S large subunit ribosomal RNA". It matches the Rfam family "Bacterial large subunit ribosomal RNA", at positions 57 to 1050 of the family's 2925-position model. The record is from RNAcentral. Lineage: Eukaryota; Metazoa; Chordata; Actinopteri; Perciformes; Anoplopomatidae.
CGCCUAACAGCUAGCCCACCCACACAACCCCAACAAACCACCAUUAAUAACCCCCUAAGUACACUAGAGUUUAUUUAAACAAACCAUUUUUCCCCCUAAGUAUAGGCGAUAGAAAAGGGCUUACGGCGCAAUAGAGAAAGUACCGCAAGGGAAAGCUGAAAAAGAAGUGAAAGAAAUCAGUAAAGCCUAGAGAAGCAGAGAUUAAAGCUCGUACCUUUUGCAUCAUGAUUUAGUGAGUGUAUACCAAGCAAAGAGUACUUUAGUUUGACGCCCCGAAACUAAGUGAGCUACUCCAAGACAGCCUAUUAAUAGGGCACACCCGUCUCUGUGGCAAAAGAGUGGGACGAGCUUUGAGUAGAGGUGACAGACCUACCGAACUUAGUUAUAGCUGGUUGUUCAAGAAAUGAAUAGAAGUUCAGCCUUAUGGCUUCUCACUUCACCUUAGUUUUACCCCUACUGAUGCAUAGAGAAACCACAAGAGUUAGUCAAAGGGGGUACAGCCCCUUUGAACCAAGACACAACUUUCCCAGGAGGGUAAAGAUCAUA